AAGGAAAGUGGAAUUCAAGAGGUAACUGAAUGUUAUAUCAUUACUGAUGAACUUUUUGUAUUCAUUAGUUUGUUUUCUUUUGUAUCAUUUUCUUAUGGUUGAAAUCUUUGUUGUAGCAUCCUUAUAAAGCAGAAAUAAUACAAUAUGUUUAGUUUGUAUUCUUUGUGAACAGCAUCAUCACCAUAAUAGCUGUAAUGAACACUCAUAUGCAAUGCUUAUUUUUUUUAUCAUAGUAUCAUGCCAGUGCUAUGCUUCCUGCUCUAACAUAUAAGCUUUUCGUCAAUGUAAUUUUCACUGCUUAUUACAUUAUAUGUCGUUUUUUCUUUUGUAUAUAAGAAAUAAAGGUUAAGAUUGUGGAUUUGUUCCACCCUGGGUGUGAGUAUAAUUUACUGUAAUGAAUAGGGAAGCAGAUGCAUCUCUAGAAAAAGAAAGAAUUAAAUUUGCUUGAAAAGUGUAAGCAUUUUUUUAUAGAAAUGAAAUGACAAGUGUUGAACUGUGAUGUUUUGCAUGUGUCUGUCUAUGUGUAUCCCAAGUAUAUGAAAUUUAUAGGAAAGAAAACCAUGUAAGAAGUGUGUGUGUGUGUGUUUCUUAAAUUUCCAUCAAUGAAAUCAACAACAAUGGUAUCAUCAGUAAUUCUUGGUGAUGAUAUCAUUGACAAAGUUCACUUCAGCAGUGAGGAAUAAUCAAUCCUAUUCAGCUUGCUGUUUUUGUCUUGUUUGUGCUCUCUAAAAAAAAAAAGGGAAGGAAAAAACACCUAUUUAAACUAUUCAACCUAGCUUCAUUGCUAACAAUAUCAAUUUUUCAAUUUUUAUAACGGCUAUUUGUCGCCAAUUCAAGCUUCAGAACUACCUGAUUUCGCAAAAUCAAUCCAGCACCGACUAAUCAGAAUCUGAAUCUGACAUCGGCAUCUGGUAAGCAUCUUUUGGUUCCAUAUCUGUUAUGGAAGGAGGCAUAUCCCCAUUGGAUGCAUUCCUUCUCCUCUCUCUACGUUUUUGCAUAAUUUCAUCCUUCACAUUUGAUUGACUUGGUUGACUUAAUUGACUCUGACGAGUUUGUUGAUUUCUCAUCAGCCACAUAGUACCAAAAGACAUUAAUGCUGCCAAAAGUAAUAUUGGGCCAAUCCUUGGAUCUCCCAUGUGAUCAUAAGUUUUGCCCAUUACUUUAAGGAGAAUGUGCUUGAUUCCCACACUUCUGGAUAGAAUGCUUUGGACACCUUUUGACCAGAUAGGAUCUGUGUCUUCAGGAACAAGGUCAGGAGUUUUUGUUUUAAAGAAGGGGAGGUCCCUGGUUUCGCCAUCCUUAAUUGUUCCCGAGAUCCAUUGAAUGAUCUGUGGAAUUUUAUCCGAACCAUUGUACCUUGCCACAAGCUGUGAUGCAGGAUCUGCUUCCUCGUAUUCAAAUACAUUUUUCCUAAUCCUGACAUUAUCUUGAGUAGCAUUCCUUUUGUAACGUACAAUAAAUAACCUAGGUACAUCAGUCAGAUCCCUCCUUGGUCCACAGGUAUCAUAGCUGGUUUCUGAAUGAAGGUAGAAGAAACAAUAUUUUUGUUGAGCUUCUCCAUCAAGCCAAGCAAAUGUCAGUCGUUUGUUUUGCAGCGCACUUGCCAAUAAUAAGGAUUGAUCUUCAUCAACAUCACUCAACUCUCCAUCAUUUGAUAAUAGUAGUUGUACCCUGCGCAUGGUCUAUGAACUCGUGUAAUUCACUCCAUUCACGCAUCUUCUUGAGUUCUGGGCCCCGCCUUCCUGCUAGAAUAACACAAUACCAUGACAUGGUAUCAACUCCAGCAAGACAAUAGCCUCGGGCAUCACAACCAAUCUCCAUUGAAGUCACACUUCUUAACUGUGGAAGUUCUUGCUGUUUAUUUUUUUCCAUGACAUCUGCAAACCAUGAAGUGUUGAAUGAUCCAUGGAAAAUGACAGGUUUAACACCUGGAUCUUUCAGGAAUACAAUAGCAGGGGCAGAUUCCACCUCAAACCUAUAAUUCAUUUCUUUUAAUAGUAGAAGCAAGAAUAGGGGUAAAAAAGAAAGCAAAGAAAGUAUCUCCAGUGCAUGCUAGGAGUACAGAGCAUAACAGUCUCUACACAUACACAAAAACAAAAAUAAAAUAAAAAUAAAAAUAAUCAGACGAAAUUUCCUGCUGCUCAAAACUGAAGAGUCUGCAGCCAUUUUUCUUUCCACUUCUCCACAGGUUUCCCUGUUUCAAAAGCCCUCAGAUUCUUCUCACUACAAGGCAAACACAAAAUAGCCAUGGGAAUGGCAUCCUUUACUUCUACAAACUUUACAGUAUAAACCUUUCCACAGUCGAUGCAUCAAAUUCCAUCUCCAUAUUCUAAAUAUAAAACUGGUUUGCAAGCAUUAAAAAGUGUCAUCCAAUCACAAUGAUGAAGCAAGUGAAUAACACUCCUUUUGCAUAAGGAAGUUGCAACGCAUUUUCCCUUCAUCAAAAUUCUUCCCCACAAGGCUUUCCAAUAAUUGAGAAAGAAUUUUGAAGGCACUUCUAUUCCUGAAAUAGAUCUCUAUGGAUAAGAAACUUGUUUUUACUUCUAUGACAUCUGACCAAAAAAAAAAAUUGUUAUAAGAUUCCACAUAAACUCCAUUUCUUCAUCAACAUCCAUUUAAUUUGUUGUGACAUUGAAAUCAACCUCACCCUCCUAUAGUUUUCUUGAAUGGUAAAUUGACUAGAUCAAAAAGAAAUCCUAAUCUUGAGUAGCUCCUGUUUCUUUUAUUUCUAUACCGGGAAAAACCAAACCCGUAGAUUUUGGCCAACCUAACUAAGCAACUUAUCAAUACUGAUCCGAGGCUCCCUCAGGGGCAUUGAAUUAAAGUUAAAUCCAGAACCAAGAGUUUUGAUACCCUUAUCCUCCUCUUGCAUGUGCACUCCAGACUCAUAAAGGGCUAUUACCAUCUUCUAGAUCAUCUCCCUCUCCCAAACUCCUAGGUUCCCUCUAACCAAAAAGUUGAACCUACUAGGAUUAUCAUUUUUAUAGAAAUAAUUGUUAUCCAACACAAUCCCAUUUCAAACAGUUGAAUAAUGCAUCAAUGAUUAAGAGGUGAACUCUGCACCAAUCAUGCCAAAUGAAGGGAGUAUCAUACACCUCAAAAGAACUGCAAGUUAAAAAUUAAGGUCUGCCAUGGUGUUUGUUACACAAUAAGAAGUAAAAUGUUAAAUAGUUUUCCCAAUUUAAGAAAAUAAAAGAUGUAUUGGUGGUAUCUGCCCAAAAAGGAAUCAGUACAACAGGCUAAAGAACACAAUAAUAGGCUCCUUAUGAAACAAUAUCCAGCGUACAAUUUAGUGAAGGAGAAAGCACAUCCACUUACGUAUUCCACCACAAGGAGAAAUCCUCCUCUCGCCAUAGCACAAAUGCAAAACAGGCAUAAGCCCAAUAAUUUUUUGCAGUUUGACGUACAAAUGGAGUAGCACGCACUCCUGUUUUUGAGAAGAAAAUGACUUUUACCUUGUGUGGACCACAUUUUGCCAGAAAAUUCUUCCCCAGUGACUCCUUGGAAUAAUACAAAAUGCGAGGUAAACCAAGUAUGACAGUUGCAGUCCAAUCAGUAACAGCAUCGAUCGAGAGAUCUCCCUCAUACCUAAUUCAGAAGAAAAAAUUUAGUGCCAUUCCACUAAUAUCCAGUAAGCAAAAACAUAAGAGGAGGGGUGCACAUGAUACUCACAAAAGAUUUUGGAUACAUCAUCUUAUUAAUGUCAAAAAGCUUUGUGUAAAGCUUCCACAAUAUAUUAAAAUUUGCGAUUUCACUUUCCACUUUCCAGCCCAGCUCCUCAAAUAUAGAACAAAAAUAAAAAGCUUCUAUUUUACUGAACAUUUUUUUUUAAUUGUGUCUCCAACUGCCAACUCUUACUCACCUAAUAAGACAAUCUGAAGUUCUACACCCCGGUGGAAAAGCCACUAGUGAAGGAAGCCCAUUCCUAAAGAAGAAAUGCCCUGUUGGUUUUCUCUCAGCAAGGGACGUUGUAAGUUGCACAUCGCCAAGUUCCACCAUACCAGUGUUUGCAACCCCUUCCAAUAAAGAAGUGAUUUCUUUCCAAGAAUUAAAGAAUUGAGCACUGCGGCUGCUCCCAUCUGAAUAUAUCUCAAUGAGCCAUGUCUUAGAAUUAGUAAACAUAGACCCGAAGUUCUCAGAUGUAACAACAGUAAGAGCAUGAUCUCCAGGAUCAGAAUAUGUAGCUUCUAGUAAGGGAAGUCCAAUGCGUGAAAAGCUUUCCCCAGCAUAUUGCUCUUUGAACUUGUCAAGAGCAAGCUAGGACAAACAAAUUUCAGGUCACGAAUAAAAAAUGCAUAAACUGGGAGACAGAGGAAAGUGUUGGGGAUUUGGGAACAAACUAGAAGUAUUUUAGCAGCAAGCAAUAUUCCAGGAGUCAGGUACUCACAAGUUGCUCAUCAAUGCCAAAUAUGUUAUAGUCCCUUUUCCAUAAAGAAUUUGUCAACAAUUCGUAAGCAUAUUGAAUCUGAGAGGAUACAACAUCAUAAAAACAAUGGAAUGAACAUAACAAUAAACUAUAACAUAGAAAUAUUAAUCCCAACAGCAUUCAGAAGAUCAAAGAAGAAAAAGGCACUUGCUUUAGUCACAAUUGCCUUUUUCUAUUCUAUAUAUUGAAUAUCCAUUGAUCUAUUGGCGACCACUGGAGUGGAGCCUAGUGAGCCUAAUGCUUUAAUAGAACUUCUUAACAUUAGUAGUAAGCAACAUAUGUACAAGCAUGAUGAAAUUAGGGUGAGCCUUCUAUUAAGGGAUUGAAAUUGACUAACCUCUAUAAAAUCAACAGCACUAGGAACCUCGAUGCCAGAAUUCCUAUAAAGAAAACACAGUUCCCAAAUUUCACCAGUCACCAUAAAUAAGCAUUGCUAAUAAAAGAACCUAAUAAGAGAGAGAAUUCACCACUUGGAAGAAAGCUUUUCAUAAGCAUCUUUAACUUCUUCAAUGGAACUAUGCCUUUCAAUCCCCAAAACUGGGCCAAAUCGCGGUUAACAAAAGAAUAUCAUAAUUAAAUGUGUGAACAAUCAUCGAAUCAUAUACCGACCAUCGUAGUGCGAAGGAGGAAAAGAGCGAGGAAGAACAACGAGCUGAUAGAAAAUAGCGAGGGCGAAGAGAAAGAGAGGCACAGCGUAGGCUUUGAUCGGUGACAGGAUUGACGAGCUUGCCGCUACUCUUCCUUCUCCUCGUCCUGUAGCCAUGGCGAAAAUUUUCUUGCCACUACCAGUGGCUCCUAGAGAUUGUGAACUACUAUAUCUAUACUCUCUACCAAGAGCGUAUUUGGUUCACAGUUGAUAGCCGGUAGAUGAAUUAGAG
RNAcentral lists this unclassified non-coding RNA (5304 nucleotides) under Hevea brasiliensis (rubber tree). Lineage: Eukaryota; Viridiplantae; Streptophyta; Magnoliopsida; Malpighiales; Euphorbiaceae. The record is from RNAcentral.